Vigna angularis (adzuki bean) is the source of this 4860-nucleotide RNA transcript. RefSeq lists it as uncharacterized. Lineage: Eukaryota; Viridiplantae; Streptophyta; Magnoliopsida; Fabales; Fabaceae. The record is from RefSeq and is a predicted model, not a curated record. The transcript is spliced from 3 exons.
UUCCGGAAACCUGAUGAAGUCAUGCAAAUAUGGAGAUGAUAUUAAAAUUUUAAACUUGAAUCCAAACAAAAGUGGGAAGAAUCAAAGUGGUUAGGGAGGUGGGUGAGAAUACAUGCUAUAGAAGAGCUUGAUGAUGGGGUCGACAACUCAAAAUCUUGCGAUGAUGAGUAUCCUCAGCAGAGUAAAACAAUCCCAACAACAAAGAAGGCAACUCAGGCUCAAAAUGGGUGGAUGCAGAACAAAGAAGAUAGGUGGGGUCUUGAGAAUGGAAUUACCCUAUUUGGUGGCAUUGAUUCAUUCCAACCCCGCAAUAUUGUUGAGAAGUGCCUUAGACUCCCGAACCUACCCAAUACAUUUCAUUGAGUCAAAGAUAGAAUGAACUCUUUCCCUUGUAUGGGAAAUUUUGGUGAGUUAUUUGAGUUUGAGAAUUGAUUAUUAUUGAACCUUAUUCCUGCCACCCAUGUUUAUCCUUCAUAAUUAUAUAUUUUUUUCUUCUUCUGCUAAAAGAAAGCUUUACUAAUCCUUGAAAUGUUGUCUCUGGUUCUAUCAAAAAUAGAAAUCCGUUGGAAACUAUUGGUGGUGUUAACCAUUAGCACUCAUUUGUGUUUGUAUCUCAAAAAGUUUAUUUGCUAGAGGAUGAAAGAAGAACUUGGAACAUGGAGAGAGCAAAUUUACACUGGAAUCAGGAAAUUUCUUAAAGAGGCCGUGUACAUUAUGCUGAAUAGAAGUUAUGAUAAGAACUUUGAGAGAACCAGACCACAAAAGCCAGCUACUAUAGUUGAAAAGAGAUCCCACUGUUCAAGGUGACCCCGCACUAAAAUUGCAAUUGGAUCCUAACAUCUUUCUAUGUUUAGCAGCCCCAACAAGUUAUGCGCGAACUUUUUGACCAGUCUUGGGUGAACGCCAACACCACUCUGCUCAAGUUGCUUAUUUGUUAUCGAGAGGCCAUGUGCUUAAUAUUUGAUAGAAAUUAUGAAAGGAAUCUGCAGAGAACAACACCACAUAAGCUAGUUGUUGUAGUUGAAGAGCCCAGGGCCUUAUAAACCCCGCACUAAACAUGCAAUUGGAAUUUGGAUCUUGACAUUCCACUACGCUCUCUAGCCUUGGUGUCCAUGCGGGCUAGCUGUGCACUAACCCUUUGACUAGUGUUUGGUGGACACUGCAAUGCCAGUCACCCUGCCAACUUUGCCCAUUUUUUAGUUGAGGGAAGUAGUUGAUAGGUUCUGGUACUGAUUGAUGGAACUGGUAUCAAUAUGACGAGAAAGAACAUUUCUGUAUUGAAUAAAACCAGGGAGAAGUUCCCCAGGGAGUAAUGCACGAUUCUAGAUAUUUAAUGAGGUGUGGAUCCACUUCUUACUUCAGUUUCUUAAUCACCAAAAGUCCCAUCAAACCAUUUACAGUCUUCCUAUUUUAUAGGCAACUAUUUAUCUACAGUUUAUAACUGUAACCCAUCCUUAAUGGGCCUAAUUAGGUGCAUGCCCCAUUCACCUUUAUUCUAACAUAAACCUGCUUGAUCACAGGUCUGCUAUCUGUUGUAAAUACUUUAUUAGCAUUAAUUUAGGACAGAAUGUUUCCUGCGCAAAUUUCUCAAACUGAUAGCCUGUAAUUACUAGGACAUUAUAUGUCUAUUGUGAUUAGCCAAUAUUAGUAGAUUAAAUUAGUAUAUUAGUGCUUGUAUUUGAUAUCAAUGAUAAUAUUUGAAACUUCAUUCCUUUUCAACUUGGUAUUAGAGGCCAUAGCCCACUUUUGUUGAUUCUGGGGUUUGUGGAAGGGGAUUUUUAUUGUUUUCAUAGUUUUCUUCAUGUAUCGUUUGGUCCAAUAGACAUGUGUGAAGGGGGGUGUUAAAAAUUUCCUCAUUGCGUACUUUAUAUACUUAUUGGGGAACUUCACUUAAUUAAUGUCAAUUGAUUUUAAGAUGAAACCUAAGAAUUAUCAAAUUAAGUGCCUAAUGUUGUCUUAAGUCAGAUGCUAAUCUAAAGAAACCUUGAAAAUUAUCAUUAUGGUCACAUCAAAUGCAGUAGUAGCACAUAUUGCAAAGUGCAUAUAUACUCUGCCUCUUUACUUCGGCUCCAACAACUAAAUCUAUUAACAAAAACAUUGGCACAGGUACUUUGCCUCUUUACAAAACAUACCUAGCAUUUGCCAGAAAAAUUAAGCAAUUGAUGUUAAUGAAUAAUGAUCCAAGCAUACCUAGCAUUUGCCAUAAAAGUAUGACGAAUCAUUCACUAAGAACAAUAAGCUAAAUUUUCAAAACAUUGAUUUAAUGUUAUAUUUCAUUUCUUUUAAUUUUCUUCUGUUGAAAUGGGAAAUUUUAUUAUUAUAGAUCAAACUACAGGGUGUGAUUUUGAAUGUUAUAUUGGGCUUGUUUAUCAUUACAAUAUGCUAGUUAUUGGAUGUGAUUCCACAAUAUGCCCAGUAUUUGCCAAAAAAGCAUAAAGAACAUAAGCUAAAAUUUCAAAACAUUCAUUUAAUGUUAUAUUUCAUUUGUUUUAAUUGUCUUCUGUUGAAGUGUGACAUGUUUUCUUAAUAUAGGUCAAACUACUGGAUGUGAUUUUUGAAUAUUCAUAUAUUAGCAUUGUUUAUCAAGCCUAGUGACUUACUCUUUAAACUGGUAAAUACAUAAAUUGAUUGAGGGUUUAUAAUGCAUUUUUCGCCACAAUUUCUCUCCUUAAUCUGUUCAUCGGUGCUGUUAAUACUUAAUCUAUUCUUCCAGAUGAGAAAUUCACCAUGUAAAACAAAUAACAUAUGUGAGAGAAACUUACAUCUCAGAAGGUAGAUACAUUACAACCCUUGCCUUUUCAAUUUCCUUUCUAGCAAAACGUUUAUUUUUCCUUUAUACUUGGUUCAACCCUACAUUUUUAUGUCUGUCAUUUGCUAUGCCAUUUAGACUUUAGAGGGAAAUAAUAAUGGGCUUUUUAUCAUUUUACAUCCUUUGCUCUAGUUAAUGUACUUGUACCUCACAAUAAUGGAAGUUGUAUUGUAUGUCUUAUGCCUAAGUCCUAUUCCACAGCUCCAACAUGAUAAAUUGUGUUCAAUUUUGGCAAACAAAAGUCAGGACAAGACAUAUUUCGGAAUAUCAGUAGUCGUAUUUUCAAUAGCUACAGUAACAUUAUGUUUGGCAAAAUACUUGUCUAUUUUCAAUAGCUACAGCAACUUAUGCUGCAUGUUAUUGAAGUGGUAGAGCAGACCUGUAGAAAGGGACAUGAAGUUGGUUGGGAUCUUUAGGCACUGUCUCCCGGUUAACUGUUAUAUGUACUACAAUUCAAUUAAGCCCAUCAGAAUCACAAAUAAGGUUCAUCUUUUUAUCUUUUGUUCUUGUUGAUCCGUAUUUGUUGCUUUUUUUAAAACAAAAUUCGUUAAGAUUGAAGAGAUAGGUACAUUAUACAUAUGCUAUAGGGUAAAAAGAAUCCUUAAAUAUAUCAUGUAAAAAGGAAGAAGUAUGAACAAGUAACAUGCAAUAUGUCGAAGGUCUAAUAAUAACCAUUAGCAGAACUCCACAAAGAAGCUACGUGAACUACACAAUCCCGAAUGAAUUCAAGAGUCAAACAAUGACCAGUAAAGAUUCUCGCAUUUCUUUCUGACCCAAUUCACUAGAUAAUUGCGAAUUGAGAGCUGCACACGGGAACUACUUGGGCCAAAUCCUCUAAAAUUGACGUGUGGGCACUGCUGGAAUUGUGCAACUUGUUUCCAUGAUUCUCCUGUUUUCACCUGAACAGAAACAGUUGGCAUCUGUUGUACAGUGUGCCAUAAAAAAGGAUGGGUUCAGGAACCUUUUGCAUAGAUGCCUUUGUUCCAGUAGAAGUUCCCCUAAUUUUUUCUCUCUAGCAUCUUUGUGCUCUGGAGGACACUGGACUUGGUAUUUGCUAAAUAAACCAUGACUUCUGCAACAAGAAGGAUGGAUCUGUUGGACGAAAAACUGGAAUGAAUGGAAGCCUGAACUGAGAGCAGAAUUUUUUUCUAGCAUGGAGAACAGAUUGGGGCACGCGUAGGACAAAAUAGAAAGGUUGGAGGUCAACUGGACGAAGAGGCUUCAACAUGUAAUUAAGAAUGUAUUGGAACAAAAGGUCGAACAUGAGAAUUUCAACAAGAGGAAAUUCUACAAGAAUAAAUUAGAGUCAGAUUGCGAUCUGCAUGGCUUGGAUGAGUAUCUGACGGUAGUUAAGAAAGCAUUUCUGUGAACCUUAGACGGGGUAAAUACCCUGUGGGAUGGAACUUUGAUUUGCAGAAUACAAGUGCUGAUGUGAGGAUUUGCAGAAUAAAACCAUAACUGGGCAACAUUUAAAAGAGCCUCCGUUGCAAGCUUUGUUGGAACAAAGGUUGAAAAUCCAUAUGAAGAUGCCAUAGAAGCUUUUGAAUCUGUAUCCUAUCAAGUAAGAAAACUACUGAACGAGCAGUCGCUUGGUAUCCAUUAGUGCCUGUGGGCCUGAUUUAGAUCCUUGGCUUCUACGAAUUCUGAUGACGGUUAUUGAGGCAAUAGCAGUCUUUGCUCUGUAAAGAUCAAGGAGGCUGAUCGUCCCAGAGGUUUAGGGAGGGUUAAUAAGGAUGUAAAGCAAGUUUAGAAUACAUAAGGAGUUAAUCUUCAUGCGCAAUAUUAUGGGAAGAUUACUAUCAGGUCACCUCUCAAUCUCAAAUUUGUUUUUGCACUGUAAGCUCGAAUCUUAGGACCCAUUUUUUCAUCAUCUUGUCUGUAUUUUACACAAUGGUUCAAUGUAAUUGUUUCCUCAAAAUUUUUUUUUUUGACUGAGCUUAUUUUUAGAAUGAGAUAUGACUAUACAAGAUUGUUUGCUAUGGAACAUUUACAUGAUAAUGGGUAACUCUGGAUUAGCAUGACGUUUAAUCUUAAAGUUUUUCCAUCAGAUA